This is a long non-coding RNA of Pristis pectinata (smalltooth sawfish), 499 nucleotides long. RefSeq lists it as uncharacterized. The record is from RefSeq and is a predicted model, not a curated record. The transcript is spliced from 3 exons. Lineage: Eukaryota; Metazoa; Chordata; Chondrichthyes; Rhinopristiformes; Pristidae.
GUGCGUUUCAGUGAAUUGCUUGCAGCGCUCCAGAAUGCAGGAGCUAAGGAGAAACAAAGGACUGCAGAUGCUGGAAUCUAGAUGAAAAACACUAUAAUGCUGAAGGAACACAGCAGGCCAGGCAGCAUCUGUGGAGAAAAGCAGACGGUCAACAUUUCGGGUAUUUGAAGUGGGUGGCUUCUCAUGAGACAUUAAAUGAAGACCCCCAUCUGUCUCCACUUCUGGACACAAAAGAUGAAAUGGCAUUAUUUUGGAGGACUAAGGCAAAUUACUCCUAUGGUCCUAGCUAAUACUUCUCUCUCCUACAACAUCAAACAAAGCAAAUUACCAAGUCAUUAUUGUAUUUCUAUGUGGGUAAGCUUGCUCUUCUCAAAUUGGCUACUGUGAUGCCUUUACUACAAUUGUAUCUACACUUAAGAUACUUAGUUGGCUGUAAAAUUCUUUGGGACAUCCCAAGGUCAUGAAAAACAUUAUGUGCAAGCAUAUUUUCCUUUAGCAA